Long non-coding RNA from Sapajus apella (tufted capuchin), 292 nucleotides. RefSeq lists it as uncharacterized. The transcript is spliced from 2 exons. The record is from RefSeq and is a predicted model, not a curated record. Lineage: Eukaryota; Metazoa; Chordata; Mammalia; Primates; Cebidae.
AUGGUUAACGCCAGAGUCCUGUAAAUGAGCCCAGCUCCACGUGUUCUCUUAAAUCAGCAAAGCCACACCCUCACGGGAAAGCCCGAGAACAAAGCUCCAGGACCUCCCUCUGCUCUCUGGUUCCCCAUGGCCUCCAGACUGCCCCUCGGGCUCCAGACGCUCCCCGAACUUCUCCAGGAUGUCAUUAAACCAGAGUGAGAUGCAUGUUUCAGGAAAUCAGCUCAGAAAUUGCAAUGGCAGAAAAAAAAAAAAAACUCACCUUUUUAUAUAACAAGGAGAUACAACUUUUAAC